Long non-coding RNA from Crocodylus porosus (Australian saltwater crocodile), 1710 nucleotides. NCBI's taxonomy places the organism in Eukaryota, Metazoa, Chordata, Crocodylia, Crocodylidae. The record is from Ensembl.
GUUUUUUGGAGGUGCCUUUGUGCUGAUGAUAAUAGGCACCUUAGAGACCUGCCUGUUGAUGCAGCUGAAGGAGAGAAACCCUCCGCUCGCUUUAGUCAAGGUCAUGAGGCUUCUCACAUGCUUCAGGACAGAUUUCCCGACUGCAGAGACUCCGGAGGAAGCAGAUGGCAAGGCCACCGAGCCACUUGGAAAGGAAGAUACAGAAGUACCCAUGCUUGCAGGGAGAACUCGGCCUGAGCAGCGAACGGGGAACAAAGCAACGCCUCGGGAGUGUGAGUGGGCUCUGCUACUUUUGGAGAAGCUGUUUCUCUAUGGGCACUUGCUCUUAUCGCUGCUGCAUUUAACUUACAUUGUGGUAAAAUGGAACAGUUAGUUAUGGGCCAGCUGCCUCUUCCAGUCUUCUUACAGAGCUAGCCCUUAAUCGUCUUUACUACAACCUGCCUGAGAGCUCUUCCUCCUUUUUUUGUGCUUGAAUUGCUAAGCUGUGAACUAUAUUGUCCAAAGUAGAUCAGAAAUUCUUCAGGACAAUUACCUUGUUCUUGCAAGCUUGCCAAAGCUGCAUAUAGGACCAGGGCAUCCCCUAGACAAACAAGUUACAGAAAUUAGACCUCAUCAUGAAGCUGGCUAGAUAUCACAGCUCACAGGGGAGCUGCUGGAAAUCUCUCUUUCGUAUAGCGCCAGAUAUCGACUUCCAAAUCUAUGAGCCACUGUCUGGUAUUAUUGGUCAAUGUCCAGACUAUCUGCCCUGCCUGAGCAUUUGUAAAGAUUACAGCUUUUGAUUAAGUGCUGUGCUGUUUGCUGGACACCACAUCCACACAGGGAGCCAUCCAAGAUGUUCCUCUUGUAAAGUGCUGGUUUUGAAGCAUCCGUAUCUAGAUCCAUUUGUUCAGCUUGAUCCAUGCUUCUCUGUUAAGGUCAUGCCCAAGCAAGCAGGGACUCAUUUAUGUCAAAAGCAGUCUGAACUGCACUCUUACUUGGGGGGGGGACGGGGGAAGAUCAUCAAAGGGAAAGGUACAGAAAUCCCAGCUAGUAUGUUUUUUUUAUAAGCAAACACACAUUAUGAACCUGACUCCUUUUGUAGACCACUGAAGCAUUUGGCUAUUAAUACUAAAAGGCACUAAUGGGAUUUCUAGAUGGUCCAGGUCUAUAACAAAAGGUGAUAAUAGGUCCAGCUAUUACCAAGGAAACCCCAGCACUCUCUCUCUGCUGGGGCAUCUCCUGCUUGGUUUUCCACCACUUUCACAUAAUUUCUAGAACAAAAACAUGCCCGGGUCGUUACAGGCACCCUCCAGAGCACCAGUCCAGCACAUUUGCUCGGCUAAAUGAUCAGAAGGACCUUCCAUCCCUGCCAGAGCGCGGUGCCUCCCAUGAUUUUGUGUUAUCCAUCCCUUGCUAAAAGAGCAUGGGAUAACACAGCACCCUCCAUUUACAAACAUACUGCAUAAUGGAGACUGUAGAAAGCUCUAACCUGCUCCCUAGCAAUAUAUUAUAGCAGUUGCUUGCGCUUGCUUUGUUAGACUUGAGGUGAGAGAAGUGGCAAAGGAAAUGAGCAGGUGAGAGGCAAAAAUUCAGAAGGCAAGAGUAAGAUUAAGAGAAGUCCUCGCAGAGUCACUUAGUCAUUUAGUGAUUUUUAUACCAGUUAGAUCUGACACAUAUAGACGCACCUUCUAUAGGCAAAUAAAAUAAAUAGGAAUUUCUGAUUGAGUUGCA